CAAAACAUUUUUAAAGACUCAAUAGAAUAGUCAACACGAACCAUCGUUCGCAAUUUCAAAUAAUAGUCAUCUCAUAUACCUUUCGGAUGUCCCUGUGGAUUAUAUCAAAAUGAAUCUUUGAAAUCAUGUGUACACAUUAAUAUAGAUGAAUCAAAACAUAAGUUAUGGGAAUCAAAAAUCAAUAGCCAUCCUAGUGGCUCUAGGAAUAGGAGUUUCUUUUGGAAUCGUAUAUAUAUCGUAUAUUCAUUUCACAACGAUCAUGCCAAAAAGAAAGAAGGGUUAGCUUCACAUACCUUUAGCGUUUAUUCGUCACACAAUAUGUAUACGCUGCCCAAUAAUACUUCAACCUAUAUUAAGAUUCCAACAACUACGUUUAAGUUACGGGGAGAUUCAAAACGUAUUCUAACGUUAGUAACUCCUUUCUAGAGGUUUAGGCGACGUUUACUCAUGUAUCCAAACCAAGUACAUAUAACCAGCCCAACAUCAAUAAUUAUAUGUUCAAUAUCAAUCCGGACAGCCCACACAAUAUUCCAAACAACCCACAUUCACAACAUGCAAUAACGAUUCACAUACGGCUACUACAUUCUCAAGUUACUUCUAAUAGUUCGUAGCCUUAACGUUUGCAUGUAACAACUUAUAACAGCCCAUCCAACAUACAAUACAAAGCAUAAUCUUAAUUAUCAUUAAUCUUCCAAGUUCAAUAACAACAACGUGUCAAUACAGCCCGCACCUUACAACGCUAGAUAAUAGUGUACAUGCGAUUAUGACACAUCCAAUUUAUUCUUGUUAAUCUAUAGUCAUAUUAUUUCGUCGAAACGAUUCUAUAAUAGCGCAACCACUAUAACAACAUGAUGUAUACUCUUAACUAUAAUUAUUUUUUCCAACUUGAUGAAAACAACAAGUCCAAAACAGUCCAUUACCACAACAUAUCCAAAACAGUCCAACAACAUGUCCAAAACAGUCCCUAAACAAUGUUCGGAAUUCUUGCAAACGUUUACGAACAUACUAAGCAAACCACAUAUGAUUCUUACACAUUAUUUCAUGUCUUCUUUUCAUAUAAUUUCAGUAGGUUAUGACCAGCUAUCCACACGACAAGUACAACAUCAAUUCAUACGCAACUAAGCUACAUCGUCAUUUCUACAAUUCUUACAACAACUCACAAACGACUUUAGUUUCAACUCCAACCAUUAAACACCUUCAUUCCAUCAUAAAAUUCAUGAUAAUAACAAUCAAAAUAUCAUGUAAAAAUAGUUCACUAACUUCCUCACAAAACAGUCCACAAACGGUUUCAACAUGCUUCAACAUCACUCACAUAAAAUCAUAGAUUCACUUUAUUUUCAUACUAACACAACUUCUGUUAUAUCCCGUAAUUUUAUACGUCGAGUUAUUCGCAAGAGAAUCGGCUCAAGUUAAAGACGGGAUCAUUUUCGGGCACGAAACAGAAAUCUUUAAUUUCCGGUCUCUAUUAGAAAAUGAAUUGCUUAUGAAUUUUACUUAGUGUAAAAAUAUUAAUGGAAAGUUGGGAUUAAUUUACCAUGAUUAGAUUAUUAAGUGGGGAUUAGUGAUUAAUUAAUCUAAUUAUCGAAAAGUUGGCCCCACAACACGUGGCGAGAUUUGGUUGGACUUGAAUAAAGAUGGACACAUGUCAUGAAAAUUGACACAUGUCCACUUUGUAAAGAUAAUAUAUAAGUAUAAGUGGAUGACUAAGUCAUCACAUAUUCCACAAAUUAAUCUUGCAAAUUAGGUUUUAGAGAGAAGGGCUCUCAAGCCUAGAGAGAGGAAGAAGUUCCCGCGCCACUAUUCACGGGCGGCGUUACUGUUCACGGCGCACUAUUCACGGCGGCGCUACUGUUCACGCCGCCACUGUUCACGGGUACUGUUCACGGCCAGCCCAUUUUUGCCCCCUUCUACACAAUUAAUUGGAGAGAUUUGAAGAUUAAGAGGAGGAAAAAGAUGGAGCUCAUGGUAGCCAUGGCUUUCUUGAAGACAUUUCAUGGUGAAAAAUUAGAGCUUGUCUCUAAGGCCUUGGGGAGCCCGAGGCGUAGGUUGGGAUUAACUUUAGUUGGGCAAACUUGGAGCGCGUACGAGGUACAGACGCACAGUUUGGUGAUCUACCCAUUUAGGACACCCUCUUCUGCUGUUUGGAGUGCUCUUCUCAUUUCAGAGCACACAUUUUGGUAUAUAUUCGUUCGCUAUGUAUAUAUGUAUUUGUUCAGGGGCACGGCGGGGCCCUGUCCCGCCAUAUGAUUCGGUUUGUCUGUUUAGAGGUCUGUAGACGUAUUUGUGGGUGUGUGUGCCUACUUCUGUACGGAUGUGUUUGCAUGACUCUAUUCGUUAUGGCAGCCUCGUCGGCGUGCAUUUUGUAUAUGUUGUGGCAGCCUUGUCGGCGUGCAUUUGUAUAUGCGUUUUGGGCCGUUGUGCCAUUUGACAGCCUUGUCGGCUUUUGACAUAUUUGAUAGCCUUGCCGGCUUUUUGACAUCUAUACAUAUAUAUCCGCAUACGGUUGCGUUGA
Molecule: long non-coding RNA, 2512 nt
Organism: Lycium barbarum (goji berry)
Lineage: Eukaryota; Viridiplantae; Streptophyta; Magnoliopsida; Solanales; Solanaceae
Exons: 3
Source: RefSeq, a predicted model, not a curated record